CUCAAAUUUGAAAUCUGGCCCUUUCGGGUCCGAGUUGUAAUUUGUAGAGGAUGCUUUUGGCAAGGCGCCGCCCGAWUUCCCUGGAACGGGACGCCACAGAGGGUGAGAGCCCCGUCUGGCUGGCCGCCGAGCCUCUGUAAAGCUCCUUCGACGAGUCGAGUAGUUUGGGAAUGCUGCUCAAAAUGGGAGGUAUAUGUCUUCUAAAGCUAAAUAUUGGCCAGARACCGAUAGCGCACAAGUAGAGUGAUCGAAAGAUGAAAAGCACCUUGAAAAGAGGGUUAAAUAGUACGUGAAAUUGUUGAAAGGGAAGCGCUUGURACCAGACUUGGGCGCGGCGGAUCAUCCGGGGUUCUCCCCGGUGCACUUCGCCGCGUCCAGGCCAGCAUCAGUUCGUCGCGGGGGAAAAARGCUUCGGGAACGUGGCUCCCCUGGGAGUGUUAUAGCCCGUUGCGUAAUACCCUGCGGUGGACUGAGGACCGCGCAUCUGCAAGGAUGCUGGCGUAAUGGUCACCAGCGACCCGUCUUGAAACACGGACCAAGGAGUCGUCUUCGUAU
Molecule: ribosomal RNA, 555 nt
Filed under: Trichoderma saturnisporum
Lineage: Eukaryota; Fungi; Ascomycota; Sordariomycetes; Hypocreales; Hypocreaceae
Description: eukaryotic LSU rRNA
Rfam family: Eukaryotic large subunit ribosomal RNA
Source: RNAcentral